UUAUCCACUUUCAAGUUCCAACAAUAAACACUUUAUACCACGAAAAACUACAGAACCAAAGUCAACGCUAGUAUUUACCACCACGUACUUUUAAAGUAAUUCUUUCUAUUGUAAGUAAUUAACACUAUACACGCAAAAUUGUUGAACAAUUCAUUAAAUGUCAGUUAAAUGUGGCAUUAUGAAAAUUUCUUUACUGUUUUCGACAUAGUUCAAAAGUCAUCACCAGAGGGCGUCUAGUUAAUUUUAUUUCCGAAUUGAGUAAAGGAUGCAUUUUUGAGGCUGUGCCAACUGUGGGCGAAAAAAUCCCCAGAAAUGAGCGCCACCAACUUGAUUUUUCCCCCGACUAGCCACUGUUGCCAACUGCGUUUCUUUUUUGGCUUGUUAUGCAUCCGUGAAAUCAGGAAGUCUCGUCCAAUUCGUAAUCCGUCGGUUUGCUUAGGCCGCGUCGUAAAUUAACCGUCCGGCAGAUGUCUUGUCUGAAUAUUCAUUGCGGCCGGUUUCAUCAGAUUAAGACAUACACAGGUCGAAGGCGAGUUUGCUAUUGGCGAAUCCCUUGAUAUUACUCGGUUAACCGUCCCGUCUAUACAACAAACUUCUCUUUACUUUGGAGAAUUACUCGCUACGCUCGAUUGUCGCCAAUUCAAUCUUGUGAGUAGAAAAAAUCAAGUAGUUGGUGCCACCCAGCCACCUCAAACUUUUUAAUUAAACCCUCGUCCAACUCUUUAAUUACCCCCGGAAUUUUGCGAUUCAAAUCAGCCACGGCCAACUACUUCCAAAGCCUGGCUUAGUCAAAUCAAGCACUCGGGCCGAACCAAAAUGAUAACAAAACACAAUCGAUAAUAACAAUAAUACGCGCUAUCAGUGUGACGUAGACAUUUGAGGUAGGUCAGCACCUUAAAGCUAAACAAUCGCCAUUUUCAAUGCUUUUCUUAUGGGCAUUUAAAAGUUUUUCGUAUUUCUUUAAUGCUAGAAGUGUAGGAACAUUACUUUUACAGAGAAAUGAUAGCUAUGAAAAAUGCAAUGUCGUUUCUUAAAGAUUUUAGCAACUGAGCUAAUAUUUCUUUUUUCUUAAUUUGGACAUCAUAUUGAUGUAAAUUAUUAUGUGGCCUUUUAAAACUGAGGGAAAAAUGGUUUGCCACACUAAUGACAUUGGAUUUCUUCUGAAUGACGAAUUCAUGGGGUGCAACCGGCGCAACCCCAAUAAACGGGUUGUUUUCUGUCCCCCUCCCCCAUCACGAGGGAUGAAUAGCAGGUAUACGAGGGUAGAGGGUUCAGGCACAUACAUGGUUGAAAGUAGUACGGGUUGUGAGUUCUGUGCUUCUUUCGUGAGUGUCUUUUGUUAUCGUGUUUUUUCCGAUCGUUCUCCAUAUCUUCGUGUUCUUGAAUUUUUAAAAUUCUGUUUUUCCAAGACAUUAUCUCAUUUUUGUGGUACAUCAUUAGGUUUUUACAUCACAACUAUGGGAAUGUGUUGGGCUCCAGAUUGCAAACACUAUAGUACUCGCGAUAAAUGCCAUUUUUUUAGUUUUCCUAAGUCGGGAAAAGAACGAGCACUAUGGAAAAAAUUGUUGAGAAGAGAUGUAGAACCCGGACCAGGAGCCUACGUUUGCAGCUGCCAUUUUCGGGAUGGAAGAAAGGAAAAUGGUCCUGAAUUAUUUUUGCACAAUAUCGCAAAAAGAGCCUAUUUUCAAGUGGAAUCUCCAGAAAAAAAAAAGAUGAAAAAACAAGGACUCCCUUCUUGUUCUAGUUCCGCUGAAUCAUUAAGUGUUGAUAUACCGGAAGAAACAGUACCAUCGACAAUGAAUUUAGAGGAAGUGCCAUCGACGUCUACAGCCGUAGUUGCAGCACCAGCAGAUAUAAUUCAAGAUGCUCCGUUAGAAUCUAUGGGUGUGCAAGCACCCUUGGUGUCACAUGCGGCUCUUGAAGCAGAAAUGUAUUUUCUCAAAAAGGAAAAUGCUGAACUUAAAGCAAAAAUACAAUAUCUGACAGUACGAUUUUGCUAUGAAAAUGUUCAAGGAAAUGACAAACUCAUUGUUUUAUAUACCGGUCUUCCCAAUAGCCAGAUUUUCGAAGCAUUGUUUCACUUAAUCGAAAAGUUGGACAUAAAAUAUUACCACAAAUGGACAGUCCAAAAGUUAACUAGAAUUGACCAACUCUUUUUAACCCUAGUAAAAUUACGACUCAAUUUCCCUCAACUUGAUUUGGCGCAACGCUUUGGGGUUGCCCAAAGCACAGUUUCUAAUAUUAUUUUAACAUUUGUCCAUGUAAUAUAUGAAAUUUUAUAUAAACAGUUUAUGACGACAAUGCCUUCGCGCGAAAAAAAUAAAUCUUGCUUGCCAACAUGUUUUAGCAAUUUUACUAAUUGUAGAGCAGUUCUAGAUUGUACCGAAAUUUUCACUGUGGUAUCACGUAAGUCUAUGUCAACACAGAAAUUAACAUAUAGUACUUACAAACAUCAUAAUACUUUCAAAGGGCUAAUUGGAGUUGCACCCAAUGGUGUCAUCACAUUUGUAAGUGAUUUAUACGUGGGAUCAACUUCUGAUCAAAAAGUUGUUUUAAAUUGUGGAAUAAUCGACAUGUUAAAAACUGGAGAUAUGAUUUUAGCCGAUAAGGGAUUUUUGAUCCAAAAUAUUCUGCCACCAGGGGUCACUUUGAAUAUUCCACCUUUUUUAUCAAAUGUCCAAUUUACACCAGAGCAAGUUAAGUGUACCGAAAAUAUUGCACGUGCAAGAAUACACGUCGAAAGGGCAAUACGCCGAUUAAAAUGUUAUCAUAUUUUAAAUUUUUUGCCAGAGUCUUUGUGCCACUAUGGAGAUAUUGUUUUUAAAGCGACUGCCGCUUUAACAAACCUCCAAUUUCCAUUAAUUAAAGAGGUAGCAGAAUUGUUUCAGGAUUGUGAUGAUUAAAAUAAUGUAAAAUAAAAACCAUCUAUUUAUAUACAGUUUAUUAUUGUGAAAUAAAGGAAAUAUAUUGGUCAAGAUAAAA
RNA transcript from Tribolium castaneum (red flour beetle), 2982 nucleotides. RefSeq lists it as uncharacterized. The record is from RefSeq and is a predicted model, not a curated record. The transcript has 5 exons. Lineage: Eukaryota; Metazoa; Arthropoda; Insecta; Coleoptera; Tenebrionidae.